AAAACAUUUAGCAUUUGGUUUUUUGGGAUCGGCUAACUUCACUUAGCAUUAUCUUCUCUAACUGCAUCCAUUUACCUGCAAAUGCCAUGAUUUUAUUCUCUUUUAAUGCUGAAUAAUAUUCCAUUGUGUAUACAUGCCACACAUUUUUAUUCAUUCAUCUACUGAAGGGCAUCUAAGUUGGUUCCACUGUUUAGCUACUGUGAAUUGUGCUGCUAUAAAUAUUACAAAUCUGCUCCCAUUCUGUAGGCUCUCUAUUCACCUCAGUGACAUUCCUCACAGAAAUAGAAAAAGUAGUCAUGAAAUUCAUCUAGAAAAAUAAGAGACCCAGAAUAGCUAAAGCAAUCCUUAGCAGGAAGAGUGAAGUAGGUGGCAUCACUAUAGCAGACCUUAAACUACACUACAGAGCAAUAGUAUCAAAAACAGCUCCACCAAAACAGACUAGUAGAUCAAUGGUACAGAAUAGAGGACACAGAGACUAACCCACAAAAUUACAAUUAUCUUAUAUUAGACAAAGGUGCCAAAAACAUGCAUUGGAGAAAAGAUAGCCUCCUCCACAAAUGGUGCUGGAAAAACUGGAAAUCCAUAUGCAACAAAAUGAAAUUAAACCUCUGUCUCUCACCAUGCACAAAACUGAACUGAAAGUGGAUCAAGGACCUAGGAAUUAAACCAGAGACACUGUGUCUAAUAGAAGAAAAAGUAGGUCCUAAUCUCCAUCAUGUGGGAUUAGGCCCCAAUUUCCUUAAUAAGACUCCUAUAGCACAAGAAUUAAAACCAACAAUCAACAAAUGGGAUGGACUCAAACUAAAAAGUCUCUUCUACUUCUUUUUAAAAAGUUUGUACCAGGGAUUGAACCCAGGGGUGCUUAAUCACCGAG
This 874-nucleotide long non-coding RNA is filed under the name Marmota monax (woodchuck). The record is from RNAcentral. Lineage: Eukaryota; Metazoa; Chordata; Mammalia; Rodentia; Sciuridae.